This 74-nucleotide transfer RNA is filed under the name Lactifluus subvellereus. RNAcentral describes it as "tRNA-Ile". It matches the Rfam family "tRNA". Rfam says of the family: Transfer RNA (tRNA) molecules are approximately 80 nucleotides in length. Lineage: Eukaryota; Fungi; Basidiomycota; Agaricomycetes; Russulales; Russulaceae. RNAcentral also lists the same sequence under 1 other name. The record is from RNAcentral.
GGCUGACUAGCUCAGUUGGUUAGAGCGUCGUGCUAAUAACGCGAAGGUCUUGGGUUCGAUCCCCACGUUGGCCA